RNAcentral lists this ribosomal RNA (497 nucleotides) under uncultured bacterium. RNAcentral's name for it is "partial 16S ribosomal RNA". It matches the Rfam family "Bacterial small subunit ribosomal RNA", at positions 28 to 507 of the family's 1533-position model. The record is from RNAcentral.
GACGAACGCUGGCGGCGUGCCUAAUACAUGCAAGUUGAGCGAUGAAGAUUGGUGCUUGCACCAAUUUGAAGAGCAGCGAACGGGUGAGUAACGCGUGGGGAAUCUGCCUUUGAGCGGGGGACAACAUUUGGAAACGAAUGCUAAUACCGCAUAACAACUUUAAACAUAAGUUUUAAGUUUGAAAGAUGCAAUUGCAUCACUCAAAGAUGAUCCCGCGUUGUAUUAGCUAGUUGGUGAGGUAAAGGCUCACCAAGGCGAUGAUACAUAGCCGACCUGAGAGGGUGAUCGGCCAAAUUGGGAAUGGGACACGGCCCAAACUCCUACGGGAGGCAGCAGUAGGGAAUCUUCGGCAAUGGACGAAAGUCUGACCGAGCAACGCCGCGUGAGUGAAGAAGGGUUUCGGAUCGUAAAACUCUGUUGGUAGAGAAGAACGUUGGUGAGAGUGGAAAGCUCAUCAAGUGACGGUAACUACCCAGAAAGGGACGGCUAACUACGUG